RNAcentral lists this ribosomal RNA (207 nucleotides) under Triticum aestivum (bread wheat). RNAcentral describes it as "partial small subunit ribosomal RNA". The record is from RNAcentral. Lineage: Eukaryota; Viridiplantae; Streptophyta; Magnoliopsida; Poales; Poaceae.
AUGUCCGAGAUCAACCCUCUCCAUCCCAUCUGGGUCAGGGAGGACCAGCAGGUGCUUGGCUACCUACUCAAUAACCUCUUCAAAGAGGUGCUCGUCACGGUGAUGCGGUCACCACGCGCACACCCUCUGGGUGGCGCUGGCAGGUAUGUUCUCUCGCAGUCUUUGAGCCGCGUCAACAACAUCCGCACUGCCAUGAUCAAUGCAUAG